UCCAUUUCCAUUCUCCGAGAAUCCCCUCAUUCUUCGCAUUUUGUAUGAAUUUCCCCAUCAUCUUCAUCUCAUUUCCACUGUCAGCUGGAGGCAAAAAGCUACUAGGCAUGCUUUUUCCUGAGAGUCCUAAUUUUGCAAAAGAAAAGCAAAUCUGUUGCAUGGUGAGCUAUUGUUCGUCAUCAACUAGUGUAGAACAACGUGCUUUCUAGCAUUCCAACACCACAAUUAUCUUAUCUCAAAGAGGUUUCAGCAUCAAAGCAGCUUUCAUCAGACUCCAAUACAGGGAAGAUGAGUUUUUUUAAAUUGAUGUUUCUUUGGAACAGAAAAGAUUCUACGAAUAAGCAUAAGUGGUUCCCAAUACACUUUUCCUACUGUGCAUACACAUUGCCCAUCCACAUUUGAUCACCGUGCUUAUAGAAAGAAACCAAUUGAAAAUCAGACAUCCCCCACCUCCACUGCCCUGCUUUUUAUCAAUAUUAUUGUCAGUUCCCUUGGGCAAUUGGCCCUCCAAAUCUCCUUAAUAAUUUGUUUUCUUUUUUAUA
Durio zibethinus is the source of this 542-nucleotide non-coding RNA. The record is from RefSeq and is a predicted model, not a curated record. NCBI's taxonomy places the organism in Eukaryota, Viridiplantae, Streptophyta, Magnoliopsida, Malvales, Malvaceae.